This is a long non-coding RNA of Canis lupus familiaris (dog), 9702 nucleotides long. RefSeq lists it as uncharacterized. The transcript has 7 exons. NCBI's taxonomy places the organism in Eukaryota, Metazoa, Chordata, Mammalia, Carnivora, Canidae. The record is from RefSeq and is a predicted model, not a curated record.
UUUAUUUAUUCAUGAGAGACAUAGAAAAAGAGGCAGAGACACAGGCAAAGGGAGAAGUAGGCUCCCAUGGGGAGCCUGAUGCCGGACUUCAUCCUGGGACCCUAGAAUAAGCCAAAGACUGGGCUCAACCACUGAGCCAUCUAGGCAUCUCUCUCUCUCUCUCUCUCUCUUUUUAAAGUAAAGACCCCCUUUGAGAAAUAUGUGAGCACAUGGAGAUCCAUUCAGCUACCUGCCCUCUAGGGUAUCUUGGGUGACUCUCAGGCUGCAACUUCUCCAGGUAUCAGAGCCCAACCAUGAGGUUGUUUUAUUGCUUGAAGCUGAGGCACAGUUUGGCUUUGAUUUCCCAGGGGUGAUGGAGAGAUGGCCAUUGGGAAAGAAACAAAUGUGAAACAAACAUGGUUUGAGUUGCACUCUUCAAACCUUAGAACUCCUACACAGAAACCUUGCCUUUCCUCUUGAAGCCCUUCUUCAGCUCUUUCUAGAACCUGGGCUUCCAAGUUCAAGAAGUGGAACAUCUUCCCGUUUAUUCUUUUCACUGAAGACCUUGGUGGUGAGAAUAGUCAGCACUGCUGUAGCUUAUUGCACAGACAGCUUUCAGAAGUCCCCUUGCCUGCUGAGGAUUUCUGUUCAGAAGGAAACUAGUGUUACACUUUUAGUGUGCUUAGGUUCAAUCCUGAUGCCAGCAGCUCCUUUUAACUGUGCUGUUAGCAAAUGUUUCUUGGAAUUUGAUUGAAUAUGAUUUUUAAUUAAGGAGUCUUUAUAAAUGUUGCUGGGCAGAGUGAUACCUCCCAGAACCAUGCAGAGAAAUGUUUUUAGCUUCAGGGCCAAAGCCAAGCAUGCUAAAUGAACUCAUGAUUGAACUGUCAUGCUUAGAGCAUUGUAGAAUUAGCAACACAUGUUUUGCUAUAUCCCCAGAUUUAAGAAGUGGUUUUGUACCUGACUUGCAUCUUCCAACAUCUUCAACAGCUUCCUCAGUCUCUGAACGUUUUGUUUUUAUCUUUGUGUCUUUGUCCCAUGCUCACCUCCGCAGGAGCCUCUUAGCUCAAGGUCCAUAUCCAUGGCUUAUGUGUGCACAUACACAGUUGAACACCCCACCAGGAGCCAGGCAAUCCUGUCACCUUGCAGACAUGUUUAAGAGGGAUACCCAGACUUUUAUUUUCAGAGCGGAACAUUAUUUUUAAAAGAUUUUAUUUAUUCAUGAGAGACAGAGAGAGAGAGAGAGGCAGAGACACAGAGGGAGAAGCAGGCUCCAUGAAGGGAGCCAGAUAUGGGACUUGACCCCAGGUCUCCAGGAUCACAUCCUGGGCUGCAGGUGGCGCUAAACCGCUGUGCCACCAGGGCUGCCCUGAACAUUAGUUUAAACAGUAUAAUGUGAUAAUCCUAACCAAUUCUCUUGGCAAACACACUGGGUUGAUGUAGCUAGGUUAUCAGAGAAGGGUGUAGAAGGCACGAGAAAAAAAGAUGAAUGUGAUGGAGGUAUUAAGACUUACCGAGACCUGAGUGCCGUUGAGACCUGAAGACUUCUUACACCACUGGUGUGCGCUCAUCCGGUGAAUAUGGAUUGACAUGUUACCUUGUGGCUACAUGGGAUGGUGAGUGCUGGCCCCUGCUCCCCACUUCCUGCAUCUCCUCGCAUCAGUUGUGUGCCCGUGGAUAGCUGCACAAGAAAGAAAAUGCAAGGUUCGCCAAAUGACCUAGAACUUUAGGGCUGCCAAGAGUUGCUCUGCAGCUGCUGGAAACCCCAUCCUGGUCCUCAUGACACAUACCCAGUUCCAGCCGGCAGUGAGUGUGAGGUUUGGAGGUCCUCUCUAGCCAGGUCAGCUAGGUGAUUUUCUGGGCCCUGUGCAAAAGGAAAGUACAGGCCCUUUUCUUCAAAAAUAAGAAAAAGGGUGUAUUUGUUUCCUCUGUGUCUCUCUCUCUCAUUAUGUCUGCAUUUGCUAUUCAGUGUCAGUCCUUUGGGACCAGGCCCUCUUGGGGACUUGGGUGCUGCUUUGCAGCUUGGCACCAGGACACAGGUCUGACGCUGACCCUACCUGCACCCAGGUCACCAUCACAGCAGAGGUGGCAGCAGGUUGGUGGGCAGGAGCAGGGAGCCGGUUGCUGACAACCCACCCUGUGAAGAUGGGGAGGUGGACCCCAUGUGAGAGCCAAGGCUCCAAGGCCCUGGCACAUCUUCCACUGACCCAUCAGAUGUUGCUUACAAAACACAAAUCCAAAAACAAGAUUAUUGAGAAAUUGAAGAUAACCCCACAUGUGGGCCCUGUGAGCAUGGACCCUGCUCAGUUACACUGGUCACCUGCCAGAGGCCAAAGGUGUUGAAGCCAAACCCAGGCAUGUGGCUGCUGGGAAGCAGGGGCUUCUGCUCAGGUACACAUUUCUCCCUCCUGCAGGUGCACACCUGGGAGUCCCUUUUACUCCUUCCCCUGUUGUUACUUCAUUCUGGAGGAAGUCCUCAGGGACCCUGGGGAUCUUAGUGCCGGAAGUUGGGUGAAGAUGGGUCCAUACAGCCUGGACAUCCUCACAUCAUUAGCAGGAGUGGACCAAGGCCCUCCAGGCUCUUUACUGCGGAGUAAAUAAACACAAAUAGCACUUCUUGUGUUAAUAUCGAUCAUCUUCUGAUCCAGCUUCCUUGAAUUAUUAAGCUAAGAGACCUCUGGGGGUGAGGAGAGGGACAGGGAGAUGUAAGGAAACCGAACUUUACCAGUCCACAGUAGCAAAGCCCUAGACCCAAUAGAAAUGCCAGGGAAAGUCUCCUGAAAACAGAUGUUUAUGUUUACCAACAAAUCCUUGGGUGAUUCCCUCCCAGCUGUGAUUCUAGCUUGCCUGUGUCCAUGGGUUCCAUGUUUGUGAUUUGUUUCUCCUUUGCUUUCUCAAGUGCAGGGACACCUGGCCUCUCUGGGCUGCCCUCUGGAAAUGUCCCCAGACUGAGUUUGUGCACACAAGCUGAUAACCCACACAGGAGCCGGAGGCUGCCCACUGCAGAGAUGCAGGGAGAGAAGCAGGGCAGGGACCAUGGCAAAUCCAUCUGGAAGGAGACAUGUGGGUUCUUGUGUGGAGUCAGUUGCCACAUUGCCUGAUUGUGGAGAUCUAGCUUCCAAUGUCACCUUUAAAGCGAGUUCAUACAGGGUAAAUCCACCUCGAAAUGUAUUCUUUCUCCCCUGAUUAAUCAAUAGCCUUGAAAGCAAUGAUUCAGUGUCACAGGGCAGCCUGGUGUGGCAGGAAGGCAAUGGCUUUGUGCAGGGCUCAGAGCAGAGUGAUUGUACUCCUGCGGUGACUGUGGCCAGGCUACUGUACCCCUGGAUUUCCUUUCCCUCUGCUGUGAAAAGAGGGGCUGGGCCUAGGUGUACUCAAGGUCCCUAAAUGUUGAAGACUCAGGACUUACGACAGAAUUACCUAAAGCCCUCUUUCUUUCAGGUUGGCUUCAAUUUAUCUUCCUCUGAUUCACAGGUAUAAAAAUUCCAUUUCUUGGGUCUCAUACACACUUGCCACACCUGGAAGCCCUGUGAAGGGAAAGUAAGGUUGACACUGAGCAGCAUGCCAAAUUUCUCAACAUUGACAACUACAGGAAGUCUGCUAUGAAGUCUGCUGCUGACAGGCCUCCAGGGUUCUAUGAGCAGGUGGAAAAGGAGGCCGGUGUGUCCCAGCAGCCCCCAGAUAUUCAUGGGGCUCCCAAGAUAGCCCUUCCCGCCUGGCUCCACUACCGGUGACCCUGCUGGGCGUGGAGAGCCUGUCACCCGAGGAGCACACCACAACCUGAGGGCCUCCAGGGCACUGAGAGCCUGGGGUCUCCCCUCAGGAUGGGAUGGCAGCCCUUAGGGCCAAGGAGGCUUCCCUGCUCCUCACGUUGUCAGCGCAAUAGUGAUCCUCUGUGUCUGUGAUGAGACCAGAGUUAUUAUGUGCAGCUAAACCAUUCCAGAUCAUCUGUUUUCUACACCUCAAGCCUCAUGAACCUUUCCUCACAGAAAACACUGAAAACUAAUGUAGUUUACUCUGGACAGCGGCUGGAAAUCCACAAACCCUGCUACGCUCCCAGCCAUGGCAGGCUCUGAGAGAGUCUGGCCUAUGUCUACACCUACAAUUGUGCAUUUGUCAUGGUGAUUCCAACAUCAGCCAGUCUACUGACAGCCAGAGAAAUGGCCUAUAAGAGGCACGUGGCUCAUUUUAUUCCUUGCAGCUUCUCAUCUGUAAAAUGGAAAAAACAAUACCUACCCCUUGGGUUUUCUAUGAGCACUAGAAGAGAUAAUCUAUGUGAAGCCCUCAGCAAGGAACCUGUCUCCACUAAAAUGCCAGCACAUGCUUGUUGUUUCUUUGGAAGACAUGGUAAAGGAGGAAGGCACCAGGAAUCCACAUGUCAGAGAGCACUUCAAUCUCACUUUCAAAUGUUCUUCUGGAAAGUCCAUCACAAUCAGGAAUAGAGAGACUACCUCCAUUCUGGAAGCAGAUUGAUCUCCUUUUCUCCUUGCAUUUUGGCUGGUCCACGGAGUAGACUUGCCCAAGGGAAGGAUGACACCUCAGUGACUCAGGAAAGCUCUUUUCCUACAUAUGGUUGAGAGCAAGUGACCAGACUCUGGAGGGACUUGGGCUUGGCUUAUCCAGUCCAUUUGAUCAUGGUUUCUGGGGAUCGGUACAGGAAGAUUAAUUUGGCAUAGAGAUCUUCCUCUAGUUCCAGUUCUCCUGUCUCUCGAACUAAAAAAAUAUCCGUGCACAACUUCAGGAUUCGAUCCACGUUUGGAAGCUCUUCAAACAUGAUGGAGUGAGAAAUUCCACUGAAGAAUUCACGGACAAACUUCCCAAUCACAAGGACCACUGAAGCAUAUAAUCCCAUGAUCCUGAAACAAAACAAAACAUUAAGUAGAAAUUGUAUCUGCCAGUGAAAUACAGUUAACAGAACACAACUAAAAGAAAAACAGUAUUUCCCUCAAACUCCAAAGAAGGUAUGAUAAACUUAUCAAAGCUUGGAGUUUUUCCCUUACAGAACUGUAAGAUCUGAAAAAUGAAAGUUAAAAAAAAAAAUCUCAAUUCUGGAGAUAACCAAUGUUAACAGUUUUCAGGGAAGAACUUCAUGUGGGUUUGCUGCAUAUAUUAUAUAAAGAAAGCACAUAAUACAUUUGAUAGAAAUGCAAUUGUAUUAUUUACACUUUUCUGCACCUAGAUCUUUAUUUUUAUAAUAUAAUUUUGCAUAGACAAUGAGUUCUUAACAGAUUUUCAUGUCUUCUUGGGGAUGUAUGUGUCCUAGAAUUUGAGCAUCAGAACACUGUGAAAUGGUAGUGUCAGACCAUUCUGGACAUUGGACCACAUCCCAAACUGUGAUGUCUAAUUGAGGCCAUGUUUGCUAAGGUUAGAAGGCAAUCUAAACAGAAAAGAGGUAAUCGUACAUCAAUUUCUAAGUUUGAACACUGAAUGGCGUUAAAUGUAACAGGAAGAUGUAGAGUGAAGAAACUGGAAAUAUGACUUCCUUGUCCUGAAGGGUGUUACUCACACCAGGCAUUUUGACUUCUUUGGGACUCUGGCUCUUCAUUUUUUAAAACAAAGGGCCAAUGACCUGUGAAUUUUAAUGGUGCAGCUGUUAAGUUCAAGAAUUCUAGGAAGAUACAAGGCUUCCCAUUGUCAAUUUUAUAUGAUACAGAGGUAGACUCCUAUAACUGUUAACUGUGACAUAAGUUCUUACCCAUAGCCAGCCAGGAACCCCAGACUCGGGGGGCUGACUUUGUCAUUGAAGACCACCAGUUCCAAGGCCUGAGCAUGCUGAUUGUAUAUUCGAUUUCCAGUCAGGUUGAGAACCCACCACUCACUGUUAGUUUUAGUUGUGUUGUCUCUGGACAAAGUGAUGGUGAUAUUCAUGAAAUUAUUUUCUGGAAGAGGAGAAAAAUGAAAUCAAGUUAGCAUGAGAAUAUUAGAAUUUAAUGCACAUAAACAGUCCUCCCUCAGAUGGCAAAACCUGGUUACUGCAAUCCAUAGCUUAUGAUGCCAGGAUAAAUAGGACACAGGGACCUGUUGUUAACAAUGGGAGUGUUGAAAGAAAAGUGGGCCCUAGGUGAGCAUAAUGUUUCUCUUUGUCACUAGACAGCUCACUGUUGCUAAGUACACAUGGCAGCCACAUCACAGGGAGAGAGAGGGAAGACCAAUCACCUAAGUAUCUUCACUGAUAAUUCCGAAGAACUAGUUAGACAUUUAAAACCCCAAAUCACUAACUUUUUAUUGAAUUGACUAAUUUAAUCCUAUGACCAGCAUUUAUUGAGUGUCUUCUAGGAGAAGGCCCUCUGUUAGGUGAUAAGGGGUUACAAAGUUGCAUACAGCAUGAUUCCAUAUCUCAAUGGGAAUAAGCCAUGUAUACAAGCACAACUAAUGGGAAUAUGGCAAGCACUGCAAGACCUGCAUUGACAAGGUCUGUUAUGGAGAGUCUACUUUUGGUUGGUAGUAUCCAUGAGGGCUUCCCAGAGGAGAUGACUUGUGAGCUGAGUUUUGUGGAGUGAGAACUUCAGUAAGUGGCGAUGGAAGGGAAGAGGAGGCUAUUUCAGGAAGACUGGAUGGCAUGAGGCUCAGUAAUGUUCUGAAAAUCCAUGAUGCGUGGUUCAUGAUUACUUUUGUUGGAGCACAGGGUCAAUAUAAAAGAACAGUUAAAGGGUGAACAAAAAGCUUGAAAUUUUUUGAGUAGGUCUUUCUAGGAAAAUGCCACCCUUGCCAAUGACAAUAGAGCCUCCACUGAGAAUCAUGGUCGUGAGCUGUAAACUCUGUGAGCAUGGAGCCAUGUCUGCAUUAUUUCCUACUCAAUUCCUGGAGCAAAGGAAUCUAGGAUAGUGCCUAGAAAUGAAUAACUAUUGGAUGGAUGGAUGGAUGGAUGGAUGGAUGGUGAGGAAGGAAACUGGUAAAGAUAAAGAAAGAAGCAUGUGAACGAUGUAGAAUGCUCAGGAACAAAAAGAACCUUGGUUCUGAAGUCUAGAGAUUUUUGAGAGGGGACAUCUGGCCCAGGGUUGAAUCUGGUUUUUCCACAUACUGGUUGUAUAGCCUCUGCUGAGCAGUUUGCACCCUGAGCCUCUGUUUCCUCCUUUGUAAACUGGUGAUAACCACUAACCUAUGCUAAAUAUGCCUUGUGGUAAAUAUCAGACAUAACUCAGGAAAGCUCAUCAGAGAAGGUGUUGUAUUGGCAGGACCUGAGAGCACCAAGACCGUGUGAUCUGGGGAAGAAGGAUUUCAUUGCCUGGACCUCAAAUGACACAGCUGACAAGCCUGUGUUCAAGGAGAACAGAACACGUAGCUGAGAAAAGGGAAACAGGGGUGAGGAGAGGCUGAGAAUCUGGGCACAAGGUGAGGCUGAUCUUGGAGGGAGGGGCCCUCCAUCUUCCUGAGGCUGAAAGGAACUGGGGAGAUUGGUGAAAACUUGAGACCCAUUGCUAGGGAAAGGGAAGCAGCUGAAGGAGUGGCCUGGCAGGUUUGCGGGGUCAUCUGCUGAGGUGGAGCAGGUGUGAAGGACCCACUGAAGGACAGAAGGGUUUCAGAGGGCAUGAUGUUGUUGAGAAAUCUGGCUCUUGGACUAAACAUUUCCAGAACUAUUUGGACUGAAAGGGAAAUACCAAAGUUGUCAAGGCAUCUUACAAUUAUCAUGUAAGACAUAAGUAUUAUUGACUGUUGAGGGAGAAAAGCAUAGAGAUGUGGGGCCCCACCCAUGCUCAUCUUCUGAACCUGCCCCUGCCUCUACUUCACGUGAUCUCCAUGGGGGCUUCUAGCUGUUUAUUUACAUCUCUAUCUUUCCAGCUAAACAUGAGCCACGCAAGGCUCUCCAGUGCCUGGCGCACUGCCUGGUGACCAUGAGCAACCCACGUUGGCAAAGGAAAGAACACGAUUUGGAUGACUGCAUUGUCCUUCUAUCUUUAACAUAUGUUCACAUCUUCUCUGAUCCAGGCAAUUGAUGAAGUCAAACAAUGCUUGAAAUAAUUAAAUUACUUAAUUAAAUAAUUACAUAACUAAAUAAUUAAUGCUUAAGAAUCCCCAAACAUCAACGUACUACUGUUGUUUUGGGUAAAUAUAGUCCUUGGAGGCUAGCACGGAUACUUGACCACCCUUGAAUUGAAUCAAGUACAUUCCCUGCUCCAUUUUUAUUGUUCUUAUUGUAGGGCCAUCAUAUUUAACAUUGCAUGAAACCAUUUUCUGCCCAAGAUAUGGAUAUUAAUAGAAAUAAGUAAACAGACUGAUUAAUCAGUAACCUAAGCUGCUAAAUGUGGAUUUGAGCCAAUCAUGUUCUAGAGUGAUGAACACAAUGAAGAAUAUGGCUUCUGGUGAUGGACUGGUUUCUUCUAGCUGUCACCACAGCUGGGAGUCUUAGGCUUCCUGUAAGCUGUGUCUCACAGGGAAAGGACACUGGAAAGCAGCUCAGGAAAGGCUGAAAAUGCAAACUGCAGGCAUUGAAUAAAGUUCUGAAACAAUUCCUUCUCAUUCUUACCAGACAAAAGUUGCUUUAUAGGUUUUGAGUUCGAAUCGCUAGGUGCUUUCACAUAAUAUGGGUAGAUCUUUUCUAUAGUCCUGUAUGUUAAGAAAAAAAAAGGGGGGGGGGGGAAGUAGUUAAGUUUUAGUUGUUUUGUCCACAUAAAAUAGAUUUUUUUGUUGUGAACUUUGACCUCAUAUCAAACAAAUAAUGGUGAGUCUCUGUACAUCUACACAAUGUGAUGUCAUCACAGUUUAUGGGUUCCAUUAUAAUCAGAAAUCUCUGAAGCCAAACAAAUCACCAGGUUCUCUUCAAAUAAUCACGCAAACUCUGUACAUGAGCUAGUUAAUGGCUUAAAAGCUGCUACAGAGAGUUUCCAUGUCUGGGACUGUUUCUGAGGCAAGGGGCUGUCUUUCCUGCUAGGAUCAAUGUCUAUGCUCUGUGUAAAUAUAUAAUUAUAUCUAUAAUCAAGUGGACUUCAUGAAUCCAUUGAGUGACAAGAGUGAGUCUCAAGGAGAGGACUGGUGGCCUGAACCUAAUCCCCCUUCUGCCAAGGACAAAUGGAGUGACCUGCUCACAUCCUUCUAGACUUGCUCUCUCAAGGGAAAAUGAUGGGGGAGGAUGUGACAAUCUUUGAGGUUCCUUCAACUUUAGUGAUUAAAAAAGGCUGUUUUAGGGAACACGUGUGAGGACUUCAGCAUGGUGGCUCUUAUACUCAAUGCAUUAGUCGGGCCAGGGCUAACUGGAGGUCAGAACCAGGCACUGGCCGGUGAAUGUCUGGAAUACUUCAUUUAGCAAUUUUGUACCAAUAGCAUUUCUUCUACUAGUUCUCAUAUUAGAAUCUAAACAUCACAUCUUGGAUUUGUUUGAAGUGAAGUACUUACUUAUAUGUCAGGAUAAUAUAUUAAGAUAAGUUUUUUUUCCCCAAGUUUCCUUUUACCCCUUGUCUUCCCCAUAUCCCCCAUCCACUAGCCAGGCAUUCAAUGACCCCAGGCCAGGAAUAAUAGUAGAAGAGGGGUCUCCCAGAGACUUUCCUUGGCUUUUGGUGAUUAUGGUCAGAUAAGAGCAAGCUUUGCUACCCAGAGACAAGAUCAGUACUUCCAGGGCAAAGUGGACAGAGAAUGGGAAAGGAGGGAAACAGAGCUGCUUUAAUGCAACACAAGUCCUCCAAGUAGAGAUUUACUUGAGUUACUGAAGAAUGAAGAAAGGUGAAUUUCCUGCAUAUGUGAAUUUGCAGAUGGAGAUUUUGUACCAGAUAUAUCCAUCUAAUAAAGCUAAUUUAC